This 249-nucleotide unclassified non-coding RNA is filed under the name uncultured fungus. RNAcentral describes it as "sequence contains ITS2". Lineage: Eukaryota; Fungi. The record is from RNAcentral.
AACGCACAUUGCGCCCGUUAGUAUUCUGACGGGCAUGCCUGUCCGAGCGUCAUUUAAACCCUUAAGCCCAGCUUAGCGUUGGCGGAUUGCUGCGUCCAGCGCUGCAACCGCCCAAAUCCAUUGGCGGUCCCGCCGCGGCUCCCUUGCGUAGUAACUCACCUCGCACCGGGCCCGGGCGGCGACCCACCGUAAAACCCCCACUAUAACAAGGUUGACCUCGGAUCAGGUAGGAAUACCCGCUGAACUUAA